This 70-nucleotide transfer RNA is filed under the name Clostridiales bacterium. RNAcentral's name for it is "tRNA-Gly". It matches the Rfam family "tRNA". Rfam says of the family: Transfer RNA (tRNA) molecules are approximately 80 nucleotides in length. Lineage: Bacteria; Bacillati; Bacillota; Clostridia; Eubacteriales. The record is from RNAcentral.
GCGGACGCAGCUUAGUGGAAAAGCAUCGGCAUCCAGCCGAAAGAUGUGGGUUCGAUUCCUACCGUUCGCU